CCUACGGGAGGCAGCAGUGAGGAAUAUUGGUCAAUGGACGAGAGUCUGAACCAGCCAAGUAGCGUGAAGGAUGACUGCCCUAUGGGUUGUAAACUUCUUUUAUAUGGGAAUAAAAUGUUCCACGUGUGGGAUUUUGUAUGUACCAUAUGAAUAAGGAUCGGCUAACUCCGUGCCAGCAGCCGCGGUAAUACGGAGGAUCCGAGCGUUAUCCGGAUUUAUUGGGUUUAAAGGGAGCGUAGGUGGUUUGUUAAGUCAGUUGUGAAAGUUUGCGGCUCAACCGUAAAAUUGCAGUUGAAACUGGCAGUCUUGAGUACGGUAGAGGUGGGCAGAAUUCGUGGUGUAGCGGUGAAAUGCUUAGAUAUCACGAAGAACUCCGAUUGCGAAGGCAGUUCACUGGACUGCAACUGACACUGAGGCUCGAAAGUGUGGGUAUCAAACAGGAUUAGAUACCCUUGUAGUC
Molecule: ribosomal RNA, 460 nt
Filed under: uncultured bacterium
Lineage: Bacteria
Description: partial 16S ribosomal RNA
Rfam family: Bacterial small subunit ribosomal RNA
Source: RNAcentral